GAUGAGCGCUGGCGGCGUGCCUAAUACAUGCAAGUCGAACGGGGAGUAGCAAUACUCUUAGUGGCGAACGGGUGAGUAACGCGUUGGUACCUGCCCCGAAGCGGGGGAUAACGGACCGAAAGGUCCGCUAAUACCCCAUGUGCUCGGUAACGAGUAAAGGUGAAAACCACUUUGGGAGGGGCCUGCGUCCCAUCAGCUAGUUGGUAAGGUAACGGCUUACCAAGGCGAUGACGGGUAGGGGACCUGAGAGGGUGGCCCCCCACAAUGGAACUGAAACACGGUCCAUACACCUACGGGGGGCAGCAGUAGGGAAUAUUGGUAAUGGGCGCAAGCCUGAACCAGCAACGCCGCGUGUGCGAUGACGGCCUUCGGGUUGUAAAGCACUUUUGACUGGGACGAGGAAGGACGGUACCGGUCGAAUCAGCCUCGGCUAACUACGUG
RNAcentral lists this ribosomal RNA (441 nucleotides) under uncultured bacterium. RNAcentral describes it as "partial 16S ribosomal RNA". It matches the Rfam family "Bacterial small subunit ribosomal RNA", at positions 28 to 507 of the family's 1533-position model. The record is from RNAcentral.